GGAAAGUGCGGCUCUGCAGACGGCCUCAGAGUGGAAUGUGUCACAUGACCAGAGUUUAAUGAAAGCUUGACUGUGGCAUUAUGGGUCAGAACCAACAUGGAAGCAGAGGAAGACACAUGGCCCUAAAAUGACUUCAUUCUGCAUGUGGUCCAAGAGGCGCACACGCCUAACCUGCAGCAAGGAUGUAUUUAACUCACAAUGAACCAACUUUGACUAAAAUUUGGCCAAACUUCAUAUCCCAUCGUUUCACAAGGAAUCAAAGGAAACUUUGCAACAGACUUCUAAAAUGAGCUUCCUUUAAUGCCUGUGGUGCAGCUGCUUGUAGGAUUUACAAACUCACUGAGGGCUAUCAACCUUAACUCUGCUAAAUGUGUAUUCAUCUCUGUCACCUUUUGGAAAUAUUAAUAUUUCAAUGGCUGCUGGAAUAAAACUCAUUCUCUUUUCCAAAUGAUGGGAAACCCAGAACUUGUCCCAUCUAAUCACCGUUUGGUCAAAAUGUCAUCUUCCCUUCAGAGAACAAUGGAUUGAUUCUUUGACAGAAGAGCGAGAAGGAACGCCCUAAAAGACUCAGAAAAGACAGACAAAGUUAAGACACAGACCGUAAAACCAAAGGACCGGGAGAGGUAAUGAUAAAUAAGUUGCUGUGAGUAAAACUUGUAUCAUCAACUUACAAGGAAGAUGAAGGAUUCCUUCCCUAAGAACUUAUCAGGAUAAAUUAUACUGGAAAUCAAUCAGGAGUUAAAGAGAAACAUGUGAGUAAGCUUAAAAGGUGGCUUCAAAAGGCAGAAUCCAUCUAUACAGACAGGAUGUAUAAUGAUCUGUCGAAUGAUCACUGGAAUGAGUCAUACUCAAUGUUUGAGAAAAGGUCAUGUAAGUGUAAGCAAAUGAUCGUUCAGUUAACAUGGUUGUGCUUUCAGAGAUGAUCUUCUGCUCAUCACUGUUGUAAUGUGUGUAUAUUUGAGCUAUUUAUGUCCUUCUGUCAACAUGAACCAGUCUGGCUGUUCUCCUCGGACCUCCCUCAGUACUGCAUUGUCCCUCAUUGCCAAGGCAUUUUUACUCCAAGAACUGUUGCUCACUGGACUAUUUUUGUGUGCUUUGCACCAUUCUCUAUUAACUCUGGAGACUUGUGCAUGAAAAUCAUCAUUUAGUGUUAAAAUUGUGUUGUGUAGAGGUCAUAUUGUUAUACAACCUUUUGUAGUACCUUACAUUAUCUAAAAUAGGUCACUCACCACCGUCCUAACAACGGAAACUACACUGUGGCAGGCAGGAGGGCUCUAUAAUAGGUAGUCAAAACUGCCCAAUACAUCACUGGCCCCAGCCAACCUGCCAUCAAGGACACACAUAGAAAAAGGCACUGGAAAAAGGCCAGAAAUAUCAUGAAGGAACCCACCCACCACGCUCAUGGACAACAUACAUCAAAGUUGCUGGUGAACGCAGCAGGCCAAGCAGCAUCUAUAGGAAGAGGCGCAGUCGACGUCUCAGGCCGAGACCCUUCGUCAGGACUAACUGAAGGAAGAGUGAGU
Long non-coding RNA from Mobula hypostoma (lesser devil ray), 1523 nucleotides. RefSeq lists it as uncharacterized. The transcript has 3 exons. Lineage: Eukaryota; Metazoa; Chordata; Chondrichthyes; Myliobatiformes; Myliobatidae. The record is from RefSeq and is a predicted model, not a curated record.